AUUCAUUUUUGACGCAUGGAAACCGUUAAUAAACUUCAACGACCAUGAUGAUAAUAAAAACACGUUAAUCCAUAAAGCUUGUUUAGUUUCAAAUUUAAAUUUAAUUUAUCUUCUUUUACAUUUAAAUGUUAACUUAAUAAAGUAUAAUGAGAAAUACGAACUGCCUUUACAUUGUACAAUUUAUAAUUGUGAUAGAUAUAUUUUUUUAUUACUGUUACAUAAUACGAUAGAAUAUAUAUUUUUUUAUUAUGUCGAAUUAUAUAAUGAUAAAAAGAGCGAAAAAAAACGUAUCAACAAUAAAAUAAAAAUAAAGGGUGGCAUCAAAAAACAUGUUUUUAGAUGUGUGAGAAGAAACGACAAAAAUGUUGUUAAUAAUGGUACCCAAAUUGGUAGUAACUUACAAAAACAGUUGAAUAGUAAAAAUAACAACGUCAAUUGCAAUAAUAAGUACAUUAAAAAUGGUUUUUUUUUUCAUAAAAAAGUGAACAAAAAAUUUAUAUUUACUAUUAUCAAAUUAUAUUUAAGUGUUAUAGUAAAAAUAAUAGAGUUAGGGAACUUCGAAUUUCUAAAAAUAUUAUUUAAUUAUAAUAAAUAUAUUUUUUGUUAUAUAUUAAAUCACUCAGAUAUGUUUUUAUUUUUGUGUUCAGUUGCAUCUAUAUACAACUGUGUUAACAAAUUUAUAACAUAUUAUGAUAAUAUAUUAAGUAAUAACGACAAUAGCUAUCUUUACAACUAUUCUUGUCAUAAAAAGAAACUGAAAAAGAGAAAAAACAAUGAUAAUAAUAAUAUGGCUAUUAAGAAAAACAAAAGAGAUGUUAAAGAAGAACAUGUGAUGAAUAUGGUCGAUGCACAAACGGAUGCUAAAACAUGCAAUGGUACAAACUACAGUAUUAACUGUAAUAUGGAUGAUAACACACAUGUGAACGAACAUGAUAACACAGCCAAUGCACAAUGCAAACUAAACGAACAAGCUAACGAUUGUACAAAUUUGUGUAUUAAAAAUGAUACAUUUGUAAAAAUACCAGUGAAGGAAAAACACGAGGUGUGUGCUAGUGCUAGUGCUAAUGUAAGCCUAAGUAACACGCACCAAAUACAGAAACACAAACACAACAGAACAACCGACUUUUUUAAAAGCUGUCAUGUUAAAAAAAGAAUAGACAAACAAAAUCACGUUGAAAUAUUUUACUCUUACGAAUGUUUGAAACAUAUUUUUGUACCUGAACCAAUUGAUGAACCUUAUAUAAGAAGUAAAAUAAAAAAUAAUAUACCUGAGAACUCAAGUAGGUUGGAUGUAUUAAUUGGUAAUGAACAUGGUAUAUUAAAAGCAAACACUUUUUUUAAUUUUCACAUGACAAAGUCAGAAAGAAAAGCAUGUCCUAGUGACCUAUUAAGAGUACACGAUAUUUCCUAUUUAAAAAUGUUAUUAGACAAAAUAAAAAUGUGUUAUGCAAAUACUUUUGAUUAUACUUUUUAUAAUAGUUUUUUACAAUUAACAAAAAAUAAACCAACAAAUUAUUUAUUAACGUCUGAAAAUUAUGUGCAAACUGAUAAUGAUGAAAAAAACGAGAGUGAACAUUUAAAAUUGUUAAAACAUAACACUAUCACUCUUAGUACUGUCUACAGUGACAAUGGCGAAAAAGGCAAUACCAGUAACCACCAUAAUACCAUACGUAGUAGUAGUAGUAGUAGUAGUGGUAAUAACACACAUAUGGAAAAAAGCAUAGAACCCAAUAACGUAUACUCUUUUAAUAACGAUACUAAUAGUGAUGUAUUAACAAAUGGUCAAACAACACAUGACAAUAAAAAAGAUGAACAAUCGUGUGAGUCCUUACCUCGAACAGAAAAAAUGCACCAAGAGAUUACUAGUAGUUAUGUAGGCUACGAACUAAAAACACAAGAACAGCCUAUGGCACACUGCGAAUUUAACGAGCACAUUGAACAAAGUAAAACAUCUAAGGAUAAUAUAUCGGUACUCGAUAAUAAAACAACAACCGUUGGAAAUCAUACAACAACGACAACAACAAUGACAACAACAACGACGACAAACUUUAACUGUGUAAGCCAAUGUGGCCAAGUACCAAGCGAUCACAACCAACUACCAAGCAACUACGAAAAUAUGCAAAACACCUCAGAAAUUAAAAAAAUAAAGCAAUUUAAUAGCAAUAGUAUUGUUCAUAAAGAAAAAACAGAAAAAUUGAUAUUAUUAGAUAACGACACCUUUGUCAAUAAACAUUCAUUUAAUUGUGCAUUAAGUGCAAGCGGUACUGUUUUAAAAGCGGUUGAUUAUAUA
Piliocolobus tephrosceles (Ugandan red Colobus) is the source of this 2290-nucleotide long non-coding RNA. Lineage: Eukaryota; Metazoa; Chordata; Mammalia; Primates; Cercopithecidae. The record is from Ensembl.